CUUAUCAACCAUACCACCCUGAGUACACCCGAUCUCUUCUGACCUUGGAAGCUAAGCAGGGUUGGGCCUGGUUAGAACUUGGAUAAAAGAUCACCUGGGAAUACCAGGUGCUGUAUUU
RNAcentral lists this ribosomal RNA (118 nucleotides) under Theropithecus gelada (gelada). The record is from RNAcentral. Lineage: Eukaryota; Metazoa; Chordata; Mammalia; Primates; Cercopithecidae.